Molecule: unclassified non-coding RNA, 391 nt
Filed under: soil metagenome
Description: partial contains 5.8S ribosomal RNA, internal transcribed spacer 2, and large subunit ribosomal RNA
Rfam family: 5.8S ribosomal RNA (bases 1-122)
Source: RNAcentral
GAUGAAGAACGUAGCGAAAUGCGAUACUUGGUGUGAAUUGCAGAAUCCCGUGAACCAUCGAGUCUUUGAACGCAAGUUGCGCCCGAAGCCACUAGGCCGAGGGCACGCCUGCCUGGGCGUCACACGUCGUUGCCCCCCACCAUCUACUCCUUCGGGAUUGCGGGGGGCGGAUGAUGGCCUCCCGUGCGCCUAGCCGCGCGGUUGGCAUAAAUACCAAGUCCUCGGCGACGCACGCCACGACAAUCGGUGGUUGCGAAACCUCGGUUGCCCGUCGUGUGCGUUCGUCGCGCAUCGAGGGCUCGAAAAAUGCUCGGCUCCGGCUCGGCUUUCAACGCGACCCCAGGUCAGGCGGGGUUACCCGCUGAAUUUAAGCAUAUCAAUAAGCGGAGGA